UCCUGCUUGCAGGACACAUGUAAAACUGGAAUGAUGCAGAAACUAGUAUGGCCCCUACACAAGAAUAGCACUCAAAUCCAUGAAGCCUUCCAUAUUUUU
Molecule: small nuclear RNA, 99 nt
Organism: Rattus norvegicus (Norway rat)
Lineage: Eukaryota; Metazoa; Chordata; Mammalia; Rodentia; Muridae
Source: Ensembl